AGUCAACCUACCCUAUGGACGGGAAUAACCUCGGGAAACUGAGUAUAAUGCCCGAUAGAACACUAUACCUGGAAUGGUUUGUGUUCCAAAUGAUUUAUCGCCGUAGGAUGGGACUGCGGCCUAUCAGUUUGUUGGUGAGGUAAUGGCCCACCAAGACUAUUACAGGUACGGGCUCUGAGAGGAGUAGCCCGGAGAUGGGUACUGAGACACGGACCCAGGCCCUAUGGGGCGCAGCAGGCGAGAAAACUUUGCAAUGUGCGAAAGCACGACAAGGUUAAUCCGAGUGGUUUCUGCUAAAGAAACCUUUUGUCGGUCCUAGAAACACCGAUGAAUAAGGGGUGGGCAAGUUCUGGUGUCAGCCGCCGCGGUAAAACCAGCACCUCAAGUGGUCAGGAUGAUUAUUGGGCCUAAAGCAUCCGUAGCCGGCUCUGUUAGUUUUCGGUUAAAUCUGUACGCUCAACGUACAGGCUGCCGGGAAUACUGCAGAGCUAGGGAGUGGGAGAGGUAGACGGUACUCGGUAGGAAGGGGUAAAAUCCUUUGAUCUAUUGAUGACCACCUGUGGCGAAGGCGGUCUACCAGAACACGUCCGACGGUGAGGGAUGAAAGCUGGGGGAGCAAACCGGAUUAGAUACCCGGGUAGUCCCAGCUGUAAGCUAUGCAAACUCAGUGAUGCAUUGGCUUGUGGCCAAUGCAGUGCUGCAGGGAAGCCGUUAAGUUUGCCGCCUGGGGAAGUACGUACGCAAGUAUGAAACUUAAAGGAAUUGGCGGGGGAGCACCACAAGGGGUGAAGCCUGCGGUUC
RNAcentral lists this ribosomal RNA (801 nucleotides) under uncultured archaeon. RNAcentral's name for it is "bacterial SSU rRNA". It matches the Rfam family "Archaeal small subunit ribosomal RNA", at positions 102 to 903 of the family's 1478-position model. The record is from RNAcentral.